RNAcentral lists this ribosomal RNA (369 nucleotides) under Triticum aestivum (bread wheat). RNAcentral's name for it is "partial small subunit ribosomal RNA". Lineage: Eukaryota; Viridiplantae; Streptophyta; Magnoliopsida; Poales; Poaceae. The record is from RNAcentral.
AUGCUCCAUAUGAUCAUUGAGAAGUUGCAUGUGCGUUUGUUGAUCUUUAAGUUAUUGAUGCAUCUCAAGAAAGUUGGCAACAUGCUCCACCUCUUGGCGGACUUGAACUCCGGACUUCUCAAAUCAUGUGGGCAACCCUUCGCCCUCAUCCUCCACAAUCAUGUUGUACAAGAUUACAAAACAUGUCGUGAGUUGUCAAAGUAUGUGAGUUGCCCCUUCACCCUCAUCCUCCACAAUCAUGUUGUGCAAGAUUACAAAACAUGUCAUGAGUUGUCAAAACGUCUCUUGGUUCCCACAUCAUUGCAACUCCACGAACAAUACCCCAACGAACUUGGAGCACUUCGAAUGACCUCUCCACAUCCUUUCUAG